Molecule: ribosomal RNA, 253 nt
Filed under: uncultured bacterium
Lineage: Bacteria
Description: partial 16S ribosomal RNA
Rfam family: Bacterial small subunit ribosomal RNA
Source: RNAcentral
UACGUAGGGAGCAAGCGUUGUUCGGAUUUACUGGGCGUAAAGGGCGCGUAGGCGGCGCGGUAAGUCACUUGUGAAAUCUCUGAGCUUAACCCAGAAAUUGCCAUUGAUACUGUAGGGCUUGAGUAUAGAUGCCGUUGGCGGAAUAUGACAUGUAGUGGUGAAAUACAUAGAGAUGUCAUAGAACACCGAUUGCGAAGGCAGCUAACGAAACUAUAACUGACACUGAGGCUCGAAAGUGUGGGGAUCAAACAGG